Molecule: ribosomal RNA, 498 nt
Filed under: uncultured bacterium
Lineage: Bacteria
Description: partial 16S ribosomal RNA
Rfam family: Bacterial small subunit ribosomal RNA
Source: RNAcentral
GAUGAACGCUAGCGGCAGGCCUAAUACAUGCAAGUCGAACGGGAUUGAGGAGCUUGCUCCUCAUGAGAGUGGCGCACGGGUGCGUAACACGUAUGUAACCUACCUUAAUCAGGGGAAUAGCCUCUCGAAAGAGAGAUUAACACCGCAUAAAAUCACACUAUGGCAUCAUAGAAUGAUCAAAUAUUUAUAGGAUUAAGAUGGGCAUGCGGAACAUUAGCUAGUUGGUAAGGUAACGGCUUACCAAGGCUACGAUGUUUAGGGGAUCUGAGAGGAUGGCCCCCCACACGGGUACUGAGACACGGACCAGACUCCUACGGGAGGCAGCAGUAAGGAAUAUUGGUCAAUGGGCGGAAGUCUGAACCAGCCAUGCCGCGUGCAGGAAGACGGCCCUACGGGUUGUAAACUGCUUUUGUACCGGAAUAAACCUUUCUACGUGUAGGAAGCUGAAUGUACGGUAAGAAUAAGGAUCGGCUAACUCCGUGCCAGCCGCCGCCGUAA